RNAcentral lists this long non-coding RNA (1861 nucleotides) under Sus scrofa (pig). Its description in RNAcentral is "lncRNA (ENSSSCG00045033189.1)". Lineage: Eukaryota; Metazoa; Chordata; Mammalia; Artiodactyla; Suidae. The record is from RNAcentral.
UCGGCCUGCCGCCGCCACGGGGGCCUCUGACACUGCGCGCCAGGCCAGGUUCCGGAAGGCAGCCUGCGCGGGCGGGGAGCGCGGGCCCGGGAGGCCCCCGCGCGCCGGGCUGCCUGCAGCAGGGGGCUCGCACGAACGUCUUCCCCCGCCAACCUCCCAGCGCUGGGGUGCGGGCUAGGACGGGGUGGGGGGACAGUGGCGCCCAGCGCGGAACAGCGCAGGAGCCGGGCGCAACGCCGCACGCGGGGACCCAGGUUGCUGGGGCUCUGUCUCUGUGUGAGCCAGCCUGCGGGAAGCCUCGUCUGGCAGAAGGUGACCCAGAGAAAGGAAUUCUAACGCUUCUCUCAGAGGUCAGCCGACUGUUUCUGUAACGGGGCACAGAGGGGGUGUCUGGGGGUCUGUGUCACCGGGACUGAAGCCUGCCGUAGCAAUGCUGAGGCAGCCAGAGACGACUCGUAAGCAAACGGGCGCGCGGGGCUCCCUCAGAGCCCUGUUCGCAGCGCAGGUGGGCCUCGGCCGCCCCCUGCUCUGUGUGGGCCCUUGGCAGUCCCUCACCUGGAUGCCAGCCCAUCCUCAGCUGCAGCCCGUGCCAUGAAAUAUGUCUGUCCCGCCGGUGCCUGACUCUGGGCAGAGUUUCUCAGGGGCAAGACCCCACACCCCGCGCUCAGCCCCAGCCUGCAGGCUCGUCUUGCGCCGUCUUCCCGCCUUUCUCCCAUUUCACAGGCACAUAAACUGAGGCUCCAGCAGCCUGCCUCUUGUUCAGAGCCAGGCCAUGCGUAAGCGAGGGGGCUGGAAUCCAAGCCGGGGCUGCACCGUGGUGACCCCCGCCCCCAUCCCAGCGCACCUCUGCCUGGGCGCCCGCCCCCUCCCCGUGGCCCCAACCCCUCUGUCCACCUCCACUUCCUGUGGCCACUCAGGGAAUUUGCAUCUGGGGCCAAAGCAUGAGCGUCAGUGACUCCCGAGGCCCCCGUUCACUCUGGGACCCCCAAUAUUGUCGUGCACAGGAUACCUUCCAGCCAGCAACAGCCGGGGCCGAGGAGUUCGGGCUGGGGGGAGGGGAUAAUGAGGGCCCGUGAGACCCAGUGGCAGGUGCUAGGUCCUCUGCAAAGUGGGAUGAGCCGAGUCCUAACUGCCUUGUGGCUGUCUUUGCCGUGCACAAGCCCUGUGCGCAGAAUGUCCUGGAAAGCCCCCUUCGCGGUGGCUCCAUUGCCCUGUCCUAGGGGACAGGGCUGAGGCCCAGAGACACUGAGUCACCAUCUCAUGUUGCAGAGCCGAGUUCCAGGCCGCCACACGCACUGCCUUUGGUCACUCUGCUGGGCUGGAUAGUGUCCCCCAAACUCACGUCCUACCCAGACGCAGGACCUUUGGAAAUAGGAUCAUUGCUGAUGUGAUUAGGCAAGACGAGGUCACACCGCAGUCCCUGGGCCCUAAUCCAGCAUGACUGGUGUCCUUAGAAGAGAAGAGACACAGAGACAGACACACGGAGGGAAGGCAGCCAAGGGACCGGGCAGGCAGGGGCCAGAGUGAUGGGUCCACAGGCCGAGGAAUGCCAGGGGCCUCUGGCAGCCAGAGAAAGGGGCAUGAGCAGGUCCUCCCUGGAGCCUCCAGCAGGAGCACGGCCCUGCCAGCGCCUUGACCGGGGACUUCCGGCCCCAGAGCUGUGACAGCAUAAAUUUCUCUUCAGCCCCGCGGUGUGUGGUGCUCGUGGUGGGACAACCCUAAGACAGAAAUGCAGUAACUCAGCCCCACUGCACGGAACCCAGCCCGCCCAGCCUCUGGUCCGCGGGCAGCUCAGCUCCAGGGGAAACCUCAAAGGCCCCGGCGGAGGCCGCGGAGACAGGCAGGGCCCGGAGGGCGGCUC